GUCCAUGGCCAUAGCACCCUGAACCAGCCCCAUCUUGUCUGAUCUUGGAAGCUAAGCAGGGAUGGGCCUGGUUAGGAUUUGGGGUCUUGGAUG
Molecule: ribosomal RNA, 93 nt
Filed under: Ochotona princeps (American pika)
Lineage: Eukaryota; Metazoa; Chordata; Mammalia; Lagomorpha; Ochotonidae
Source: RNAcentral